RNAcentral lists this unclassified non-coding RNA (22 nucleotides) under Mus musculus (house mouse). RNAcentral describes it as "oocyte_clustered_small_RNA13254". The record is from RNAcentral. Lineage: Eukaryota; Metazoa; Chordata; Mammalia; Rodentia; Muridae.
UCCUCUGGCCUGUGAUGCAAUU